UCAGGAUGAACGCUGGCGGCGUGCCUAACACAUGCAAGUCGAACGAGCGAGAGAUGAAACCUAGUGAUUCUCGAGCGAGUGGCGGACGGGUGAGUAACGCGUGGGUAACCUGCCUUACAGAGGGGGAUAACAGUUUGAAAAGACUGCUAAUACCGCAUAAGCACACAGUACCGCAUGGUACAGGGUGAAAAGAUUUAUCACUGUAAGAUGGACCCGCGUCUGAUUAGCCAGUUGGCAGGGUAACGGCCUACCAAAGCGACGAUCAGUAGCCGACCUGAGAGGGUGAUCGGCCACAUUGGGACUGAGACACGGCCCAAACUCCUACGGGAGGCAGCAGUGGGGGAUAUUGCACAAUGGAGGAAACUCUGAUGCAGCGAACCGCCGCGUGAGUGAAGAAGUAUUUCGGUAUGUAAAGCUCUAUCAGCAGGGAAGAUAAUGACAGUACCUGACCAAGAAGCCCCGGCUAACUACGUGCCAGCAGCGGC
RNAcentral lists this ribosomal RNA (485 nucleotides) under uncultured bacterium. Its description in RNAcentral is "bacterial SSU rRNA". It matches the Rfam family "Bacterial small subunit ribosomal RNA", at positions 24 to 518 of the family's 1533-position model. The record is from RNAcentral.